CGCCCAUGCUGAACAGGGGAUACUAACCGCCCGAAGCCUGCCCUAUCACCCUUGUGGUGUGCGGGUUUUGGUGGAGCGCGGGACCUGAUCCUGGGAGGCAAGCGUAUUAACA
Molecule: ribosomal RNA, 112 nt
Filed under: Arthrobacter globiformis
Lineage: Bacteria; Bacillati; Actinomycetota; Actinomycetes; Micrococcales; Micrococcaceae
Description: 23S ribosomal RNA
Source: RNAcentral